GAUAAACGCUGGCGGCGCACAUAAGACAUGCAAGUCGAACGGACUUAACUCAUUCUUUUAGAUUGAGAGCGGUUAGUGGCGGACUGGUGAGUAACGCGUAGGUAACCUGCCCUUCAGAUGGGGACAACACCUCGAAAGGGGUGCUAAUACCGAAUGACGUUCCCUGGUCGCAUGACCUGGAAACCAAAGGCCGGGCAACCGGUCACUGAGGGAUGGGCCUGCGUCUGAUUAGCUAGUUGGUGGGGUAACGGCCCACCAAGGCGACGAUCAGUAGCCGGUCUGAGAGGAUGAACGGCCACAUUGGGACUGAGACACGGCCCAA
Molecule: ribosomal RNA, 322 nt
Filed under: uncultured bacterium
Lineage: Bacteria
Description: bacterial SSU rRNA
Rfam family: Bacterial small subunit ribosomal RNA
Source: RNAcentral